CCCGAGGAAAAGAAAUCAACCGAGAUUCCCCCAGUAGCGGCGAGCGAACGGGGAGGAGCCCAGAGCCUGAAUCAGCAUGUGUGUUAGUGGAAGCGUCUGGAAAGGCGCGCGAUACAGGGUGACAGCCCCGUACACAAAAGCGCAUGUGCUGUGAGCUCGAUGAGUAGGGCGGGACACGUGGUAUCCUGUCUGAAUAUGGGGGGACCAUCCUCCAAGGCUAAAUACUCCUGACUGACCGAUAGUGAACCAGUACCGUGAGGGAAAGGCGAAAAGAACCCCGGCGAGGGGAGUGAAAAAGAACCUGAAACCGUGUACGUACAAGCAGUGGGAGCACAGGUUUACCUGUGUGACUGCGUACCUUUUGUAUAAUGGGUCAGCGACUUAUAUUCUGUAGCAAGGUUAACCGUAUAGGGGAGCCGGAGGGAAACCGAGUCUUAACCGGGCGUUAAGUUGCAGGGUAUAGACCCGAAACCCGGUGAUCUAGCCAUGGGCAGGUUGAAGGUUGGGUAACACUAACUGGAGGACCGAACCGACUAAUGUUGAAAAAUUAGCGGAUGACCUGUGGCUGGGGGUGAAAGGCCAAUCAAACCGGGAGAUAGCUGGUUCUCCCCGAAAGCUAUUUAGGUAGCGCCUCGUGAAUUCAUCUCCGGGGGUAGAGCACUGUUUCGGCUAGGGGGCCAUCCCGGCUUACCAACCCGAUGCAAACUGCGAAUACCGGAGAAUGU
RNAcentral lists this ribosomal RNA (725 nucleotides) under Salmonella enterica. RNAcentral describes it as "partial 23S ribosomal RNA". It matches the Rfam family "Bacterial large subunit ribosomal RNA", at positions 210 to 973 of the family's 2925-position model. Lineage: Bacteria; Pseudomonadati; Pseudomonadota; Gammaproteobacteria; Enterobacterales; Enterobacteriaceae. The record is from RNAcentral. RNAcentral also lists the same sequence under 5 other names.